CCGUGCUGCCCUCUUCGGAUGUGGAGCGCCCGGUGAAGGAGGCCAUGGGGAGUCCUGCUGACCGAGAAGUUCCCCGGUGCGCGGCCGGGGGAGCUGUCUUUCGUGUGCGUUGAGGACAUGGCCGUCGUUCGGGGUGUUUUUGCUGGUCUGUUUAUUCCUUCAGGAUUGUCCCGGUGAGGGAGCUUUACAUGUAUCUGAAAUUCUGAACGCGAUGAAUGUCCCUUAGGCUGGUGUGGCGACUGUGUUUUUUCAGUAUAUAUGUAUAAGUCAGUGACUAAUUCAGUUAGGGGCUUUGCAAUUGCUCUGUUAUCACUUUCUAGUAGAUAACUGCUUUUUAUGAGAUGUAUGGAGAAGGCUAGCCUCCAGGUCCAUGUAAUGACAGACAAUUGGUCUAUAACUUAACCUGCAAAGUCACCUUUGAUUA
Molecule: long non-coding RNA, 424 nt
Organism: Lolium rigidum
Lineage: Eukaryota; Viridiplantae; Streptophyta; Magnoliopsida; Poales; Poaceae
Exons: 2
Source: RefSeq, a predicted model, not a curated record